RNAcentral lists this ribosomal RNA (494 nucleotides) under uncultured bacterium. RNAcentral's name for it is "partial 16S ribosomal RNA". It matches the Rfam family "Bacterial small subunit ribosomal RNA", at positions 28 to 507 of the family's 1533-position model. The record is from RNAcentral.
GACGAACGCUGGCGGCGCGCUUAACACAUGCAAGUCGAACGGAAAGGCCUGCUUUCCCUUGUGGUUUGCGGGUACUCGAGUGGCGAACAGGUGAGUAACACGUGAGUGAUCUGCCCCCAACUUGGGUAUAAGCCUGGGAAACUGGGUCUAAUUCCCGAUCGGACUGCAGGGUGGUGCCUGUGGUGGAAAACGAUUUUCUAGUGGUUGGGGAUGAGCUCGCGGCCUUUCAGCUUGUGGGUGGGGUAAUGGCCUACCAAGGCGGCGACGGGGAGCCGGCCUGGGAGGGUGCACGGCGACAUUGAGACUGGGAUACGGCCCAGACGCCUGCGGGAGGCAGCAGUGGGGAAUAUAGCGCAGUGAGCGGAAUCCUGAUGCAGCGACUCCGCGUGGGAGAUGACGGCCUUCGGGUUGUAAACUCCUUUCGACCGCGAGGAAGCCACUUGGUUGGAAGGGUGGUGACGGUAGUGGUAGAAGAAGCACCGGCUAACUACGUG